UGGGGAAUCUUGGACAAUGGGGGCAACCCUGAUCCAGCCAUGCCGCGUGAGUGAUGAAGGCCUUAGGGUCGUAAAGCUCUUUCGCCUGUGAAGAUAAUGACGGUAGCAGGUAAAGAAACCCCGGCUAACUCCGUGCCAGCAGCCGCGGUAAUACGGAGGGGGUUAGCGUUGUUCGGAAUUACUGGGCGUAAAGCGCACGUAGGCGGACCAGAAAGUUGGGGGUGAAAUCCCGGGGGCUCAACCCCGGAACUGCCUCCAAAACUAUUGGUCUAGAGUUCGAGAGAGGUGAGUGGAAUUCCAAGUGUAGAGGUGAAAUUCGUAGAUAUUUGGAGGAACACCAGUGGCGAAGGCGGCUCACUGGCUCGAUACUGACGCUGAGGUGCGAAAGUGUGGGGAGCAAACAGGAUUAGAUACCCUGGGUAGU
This 424-nucleotide ribosomal RNA is filed under the name uncultured bacterium. RNAcentral describes it as "bacterial SSU rRNA". It matches the Rfam family "Bacterial small subunit ribosomal RNA", at positions 355 to 794 of the family's 1533-position model. The record is from RNAcentral.